ACCGAGGCCCGGGGAAGUGACUUGCCCCAGGUCACACGGCAGACAGGUGGUGGAGCUCAGCCCAAGCUUCCCCACCCCUCGAAAACCCUCCAGUGGUGGCCCAUCUACAGGAGCUCCUCGGAAGAGCACUGUACUGAGCGCUCGGGAGAGUCCCAUCCGACAAUCAACAGGCUCCGAACGAACACCGGGUCUGCGGCCAACCCAGUCACCUUGGAUCUGCCACCGCGCCUAGUACAGUGCUUGGCACACGCGUCUUUCACUGAUGGUCAAGAGGGAGCAGCUUUGGGAAGACUUCGUGAAGUAUUUUAAGUUUCAAAAAACUGUCAAAUUUGUUCCCAUCCUCAGAGUAAGUCCCAUGACCUUAUUUCUUUUGAGCCGCACUGAGUUUUGUAUUUUUUUUUCUCCCAUUAUGAAUGAAGAGGGAGACAGGAAAACUGU
Tachyglossus aculeatus (Australian echidna) is the source of this 438-nucleotide long non-coding RNA. RefSeq lists it as uncharacterized. NCBI's taxonomy places the organism in Eukaryota, Metazoa, Chordata, Mammalia, Monotremata, Tachyglossidae. The transcript is spliced from 3 exons. The record is from RefSeq and is a predicted model, not a curated record.